CUUCAGCUCAGGAAGAACUCAGGAUGGCAACAAGCACCAAAAAGGAGUCUUUUCAGAUUUCUACGUUUUUUAAGUCUAGCUCCUUAGGAGAACGGAAAGGACUCAAACUAGAAAAAGAUUGGAAAAGGAGAGUUGGAGAAGCAGAGAGGGCAGUGGCGCCGUUACGUACCUGAGAGACGUGCCAGCGCUUUACUCCACAGGCUGAGCUUGAGAAAGGCGGCAAGACCCUGAGAAGAAAUGGCGGCACGAAAAGUGUUGCGGAGGAUGCGGAGUUCCCAGUCCCGCCAUGCUGUAGGCGUUGAAAAAUGAUCUCCUCGCACCCCAAAAUAGCACAGAGGAGGCCCUGAAACCAGAUGGGGCCACGUGGGUGGAAACAAGGAGGUUCUCUUCAGUGGCUGGCACUAAACAGCACCCAAGGAACAAUCAGGAUGAAGGUCUCAGCCGAUGCCGCUGUGGCUAGAUGACGAAAGAGGUUCUUCUAGAUUUCCACCUCUCUUGUAAGACCAGCAGAAUCUCCUAUAGUGUAUCUUCUCUGGGACUGGUUGUUCUGCAUUGGGAACAUGCCUUGGAGCUCCUAGUCUGCAGCACCCACAAUGCCCAAAGCAGAUUACAAGUGCAUCCAGAGUGGCCUUUGGUGACCCAGUUCCCAAAAUUUUCAAGGUCCCUCUGCCAGGGUCAAGUGGAGACAUUGUGUCUGGAAUUGGUGGGUUGUUGGUCUCACUGACUUCAAGAAUGAAGCCGCGGACCUUCGUGGUGAGUGUUACAGUUCUUAAAGAUGGUGUGUCUGGAAUUUGUUCCUUCUGAUGUUCGGACGUGUUCGGAGUUUCUUCCUUCUGUUGGGUUCGUGGUCUCGCUGGCUUCAGGAGUGAAGCUGCAAACCUUCGCGGUGAGAGUUACAGCUCUUAAGGCGGCACAUCUGGAGUUGUUUGUUCCUCCCCUCCAGAAUUGUUCAUUCCUCCCGAUGGGUUCGUGGUCUUGCUGGCCUCAGGAGUGAAACUGCAGACCUUCGUGGUGAGUGUUACUGCUCAUAAACACAGUGCGGACCCGAAGAGUGAGCAGCGGC
This 1063-nucleotide long non-coding RNA is filed under the name Pan troglodytes (chimpanzee). RNAcentral's name for it is "lncRNA (ENSPTRG00000054005.1)". Lineage: Eukaryota; Metazoa; Chordata; Mammalia; Primates; Hominidae. The record is from RNAcentral.